AGGGGAUGAGGUAUUAUUAAUGUUUAUUAAAGUCUCCGAAUCCAUUUCUUUGGGAGGAUCUAAUUUCAUUGAAAGAACCAGGCAGCUAAAUUAAUGCAGUAGAAAUGAAGAAUCAGUUUACAUCAGCCUACACUUCUGAGCAGUGCAGGAGGACUAUGACAUCCACACACUUCAAAGGUGGAAAACAGAGGGACAAGUGUUCAUUUACUUGUCAGGAGAUGUCUGAAGCCUACUUCAGAAUGCAAGGAAGCAGAUGCCAAGGGGAUAGAAGUAGAAGCUGAUUGGGAAGACUGCUUGUGAAAGAUAAAGGGGAGAAGAGCACGGCAAGAGGUCCUUAUCCUUCAUGGCAAGAGAGAUGGAGCUCUUGGAAUAUUCUUCUUCCUUGAUCAAAAUACCCUCCAUCUAAGAAAGAUUCACUUCUCUUGCAGAAAUACCACAUCUGUCUGUUCUGGCUCUGGCUACUAGAGAGUGUAACAGCAUUGGCAAUGAUAUGACUUCACAGGUUAGUGAUUUCUGUUUUUUUUGUGGAUCAGCUUUGAUAUUAGUAGAAAAAAGUAUAUAUAAUCAUACAGUAAAUCUUCUGGUGGGACUCAUACUGCUAUAUCCAUAUGAAAAAAUGUUGGAGGUUUUCAAAUAAAAAUGAAAUAUGUAUUACUGAAAGACACUGUGUGUGUUAGUCAAGAAUUUUUAAGUUAACUUCUAAUGUCUUCAAAUCUUAACUUACAAUAAAAAAUAGAUAAUAAUUUUGAAGAUGAUAUCCCAAUGGAAGUGAAUUUAUUCUCAGCAUUACGCAUCAAAUUAGUAUUAUUUAUUUGGAGGAUGUUUGAAUUUUAGCAGUCAGAAUCAAUGUAAAUUGAAUAGAGCAAACACAAAUUAUACUGUUAAAAGCUAGGUGUAAAGGAUAGCAUGUGAAUUUUUAAAAAAUGAUCUACGCAUUUCAUACCAUCAGCAUGUCCUUCUUAGUCCUAUCUUAUAUUGCAAUCAAUUAGAUGUUUUGUGAAAAGCAAAUAUAUCACAUGCAAAUACAUGUAAAUACUAUAUAAGGCCAUCCAGAUUUGACAAAUGAUAUUAAAAUGGCAUUUUGUUAAUUCUGUAAAGAUUAUAUUGCUGAGUGCUUUCAAAAUCACCUAAUGUACAAAAUUCUAGACUUAGUAGACAGAGUAACAACACACUGAAAUUAUAAAGAAACAAAAUGAAAACUCAGGGAGAGAUUCUGUAUUGUUUUGUUUUGUUAAAAACCAUGUAUUGAAUUUAAUUUUUAGUAAAGCAAGCAUUACAUAAUGCUUCAAAAUUCUAAAAGUAGGGGAUAAAAGUUUACAUCCAAAAAGAUGAAUGGAAAAUUGUGCUUUCAGACUGUAGAAUAAGUUUUCUUACAGGGUUAACCAUUUCAUCUCGCCAUUGGAUACUGGGAAUUUCAUUUAUGUAAUGUAUAUAUGUGCAGUUCAUAUCCAAGUCCUGCAAAAAUCUAAAACUGUGUGCUUCACUUCAUGUAGCAAAGGCACCUAUGUUAUUCUCCCUUUUGAGCAAAAGUCAUGAUCCAGUUUUCCUGUUGACGAUGCUUUUUCCACUGCUGUGUCACUCACACUCUCUGUGUUGAGCAGUAUAGUAAAUCACAAGAGAAAGUGGUGGCGAAUUCCUGCUCACACUGGAAGUUGCUCUGUGGACCAUUCAAAGAAGCUCUGGACUGAUCACAAGGGAAACCGAGCAGAACUGUGAAGCAGACGGACAGGAACAAAAGGCUAUUCUGGUGUAAGGAGAAAUCAGUCACUUCAGCUCCACAAGCAGAUGUUGCUGCUGGACUGACAAGUGGAACCUACUCCUGCUGGAGAAAGCUACCAUGUAAGAUGUACCUUUUGCUUUCUGCUUGCCUGCCACCAUGGAAGAUGUACCUUUUGCCUUCUGCCAUGAUUGUGAGGCCUCCCCAGCUAUGUGGAACUAAGUCACUGGUCCCAGAAGAAGAGGUAGCACAAGCAAAGGAAACCCAAGGAGAAGCACCAGAAAGAAGGAAAAUAACCAAGAAAGGCAGGAACACAUCACAUUGAGAAAAAGAAAGGCAGGAAAUUAUAUUUUUAAGUUACUUUAUCUGAUAUUUGCCAAAAGAGAACUUUCGCUGGUCUGUAGUUUUUCAAUAAAAUUAACUAUGAUGAUGAA
Molecule: non-coding RNA, 2151 nt
Organism: Callithrix jacchus (white-tufted-ear marmoset)
Lineage: Eukaryota; Metazoa; Chordata; Mammalia; Primates; Cebidae
Source: RefSeq, a predicted model, not a curated record